Molecule: ribosomal RNA, 509 nt
Filed under: uncultured bacterium
Lineage: Bacteria
Description: bacterial SSU rRNA
Rfam family: Bacterial small subunit ribosomal RNA
Source: RNAcentral
GAUUAUGGCUCAGGAUGAACGCAGCGACAGGCUUAACACAUGCAAGUCGAGGGGCAGCAUAAAAGUAGCAAUACUUUGGUGGCGACCGGCGCACGGGUGAGUAACGCGUAUGCAACCUACCUAUCAGAGGGGAAUAACCCGGCGAAAGUCGGACUAAUACCGCAUAAAACAGGGGCACCGCAUGGUGAUAUUUGUUAAAGAAAUUCGCUGAUAGAUGGGCAUGCGUUCCAUUAGGUAGUUGGUGAGGUAACGGCUCACCAAGCCGACGAUGGAUAGGGAACUGAGAGGUUGGUCCCCCACACUGGUACUGAGACACGGACCAGACUCCUACGGGAGGCAGCAGUGAGGAAUAUUGGUCAAUGGGCGGGAGCCUGAACCAGCCAAGUCGCGUGAAGGAAGAAGGAUCUAUGGUUCGUAAACUUCUUUUGCAGGGGAAUAAAGUGCAGGACGUGUCCUGUUUUGUAUGUACCCUGAGAAUAAGGAUCGGCUAACUCCGUGCCAGCCGCGGC